Molecule: ribosomal RNA, 253 nt
Filed under: uncultured bacterium
Lineage: Bacteria
Description: partial 16S ribosomal RNA
Rfam family: Bacterial small subunit ribosomal RNA
Source: RNAcentral
UACGGAGGGGGCAAGCGUUAUUCGGAAUCAUUGGGCGUAAAGGGCGCGUAGGCGGCCUGGCAAGUCAAAGGUGAAAUCCCUCGGCCCAACCGAGGAACCGCCUUUGAAACUGCAAGGCUCGAGGCCGGGAGAGGGUAGCGGAAUUCCCAGUGUAGCGGUGAAAUGCGUAGAUAUUGGGAGGAACACCAGUGGCGAAGGCGGCUACCUGGACCGGUUCUGACGCUGAGGCGCGAAAGUGUGGGGAGCGAACAGG